Long non-coding RNA from Leptidea sinapis, 271 nucleotides. RefSeq lists it as uncharacterized. The transcript has 3 exons. Lineage: Eukaryota; Metazoa; Arthropoda; Insecta; Lepidoptera; Pieridae. The record is from RefSeq and is a predicted model, not a curated record.
AAGACACGACACGAGCGAAAAGUUCAUGAGGGCGGGUUGGUGACACGAAAUACAAACAAGAUCACCUGGUUACAUAGGUUGAUAUGAGCCACCAUGGCAUCCGUACACCAAUAAUGCGAGAGAGUAUCAUUUGGAGACGUGGAAAUAACUGAUGAUGAAGACCACACAUAAUGACCAAAGCAUCUUGUUAAAGCGGACUCUCCGGCCCGGCACCGCAUCACGACUCCCACCGAUCGUGACCGCUCGCUGCAACACAAACUCCGCUCACAGA